Molecule: long non-coding RNA, 198 nt
Organism: Gorilla gorilla gorilla (western lowland gorilla)
Lineage: Eukaryota; Metazoa; Chordata; Mammalia; Primates; Hominidae
Exons: 3
Source: RefSeq, a predicted model, not a curated record
GGAGAGGAUGAAUGUGAAGUUACAAAGUCUACGACGUCAGCCUUAUGUUCCCUGACUCCAGGCCCUAUUUUUCUGCCUCACAACAGGUCAUUGAAGACCAAGAAUCAAGCAAUCGAGCGUCCUCGUCGGUUGUAGCGAAAGAGAACCGUGACCAACAGGAGAGCAGUGUCCACCCAGGUCACUUGGGGUUACUGGGGG